CACUGUGCAGCUAUUCCAGCAUUAACCUUUUAAGUUAAAGAUUGAGGGCACGCCCUCUGCAGUGAA
RNAcentral lists this transfer RNA (66 nucleotides) under Papio ursinus (Chacma baboon). RNAcentral describes it as "tRNA-Lys". The record is from RNAcentral. Lineage: Eukaryota; Metazoa; Chordata; Mammalia; Primates; Cercopithecidae.